AGUGAACGCUGGCGGUAGGCCUAACACAUGCAAGUCGAACGGCAGCACAGUAAGAGCUUGCUCUUACGGGUGGCGAGUGGCGGACGGGUGAGGAAUACAUCGGAAUCUACUUUUUCGUGGGGGAUAACGUAGGGAAACUUACGCUAAUACCGCAUACGACCUACGGGUGAAAGCAGGGGAUCUUCGGACCUUGCGCGAUUGAAUGAGCCGAUGUCGGAUUAGCUAGUUGGCGGGGUAAAGGCCCACCAAGGCGACGAUCCGUAGCUGGUCUGAGAGGAUGAUCAGCCCACCUGGAACUGAGACACGGUCCAGACUCCUACGGGAGGCAGCAGUGGGGAAUAUUGGACAAUGGGCGCAAGCCUGAUCCAGCCAUACCGCGUGGGUGAAGAAGGCCUUCGGGUUGUAAAGCCCUUUUGUUGGGAAAGAAAAGCAGCAGGUUAAUACCCCGCUGUUCUGACGGUACCCAAAGAAUAAGCACCGGCUAACUUCGUG
Molecule: ribosomal RNA, 492 nt
Filed under: uncultured bacterium
Lineage: Bacteria
Description: partial 16S ribosomal RNA
Rfam family: Bacterial small subunit ribosomal RNA
Source: RNAcentral